RNAcentral lists this ribosomal RNA (206 nucleotides) under uncultured bacterium. RNAcentral describes it as "partial 16S ribosomal RNA". It matches the Rfam family "Bacterial small subunit ribosomal RNA", at positions 568 to 774 of the family's 1533-position model. The record is from RNAcentral.
AGCGCAGGCGGGAAACUAAGCGGAUCUUAAAAGUGCGGGGCUCAACCCCGUGAGGGGGUCCGAACUGGUUUUCUUGAGUGCAGGAGAGGAAAGCGGAAUUCCCAGUGUAGCGGUGAAAUGCGUAGAUAUUGGGAAGAACACCAGUGGCGAAGGCGGCUUUCUGGACUGUAACUGACGCUGAGGCUCGAAAGCAUGGGUAGCAAACA